RNAcentral lists this long non-coding RNA (684 nucleotides) under Salmo salar (Atlantic salmon). Its description in RNAcentral is "lncRNA (ENSSSAG00000104413.1)". The record is from RNAcentral. Lineage: Eukaryota; Metazoa; Chordata; Actinopteri; Salmoniformes; Salmonidae.
GCACAACAUAAUCUGAAACAACCGAAGCAAACAGCAAAUGCAUCCAACAAAUCUGUAGUCACAAGAUCGAUGUAGUCAUUCCAUGCUAUGAAUAUGGGUCCAAAUACUUCACUUUUACUGCACAUAUGUGAAUUUGUUUGGAUUCCUAAAAUGGGGCCACUAUGUACAAAAUGUGCUGUAAUUUCUAAACGUUUCACACGAUAUGUAUGAAAAUACCUUCCAAUUAAAGCUGACAGUCAGCACCAGUAUUCAGUGCCCCCUGUAAUUAUUGAGACAGUGCAGCAUAGUGUUUUCUUCUUUUGGCUCUAUACUCCAAAAGUUUGGAUGUUAAAUCAAAAUGUUGGAGUAUAGAGUCAAAAGAAGAAAACACGCUACACUGUAUAUAACUAAAUACUGGACACAUCUAGACCACUGGUUCUAUUCAAUCCACAUCUACUGGCAGAUUCCUGUAAUACACAUGGUAACAAGCUAGGUCAUUUAUCUACUGGCAGAUUCCUGUAAUACACACGGUAACAAGCUAGGUCAUUUAUCUACUGGCAGAUUCCUGUAAUACACACGGUAACAAGCUAGGUCAUUUAUCUACUGGCAGAUUCCUGUAAUACACAUGGUAACAAGCUAGGUCAUUUAUCUACUGGCAGAUUCCUGUAAUACACAUGGUAACAAGCUAGGUCAUUUAUCUACUGG